GCGGGUAUGGUAUAGCGGUAUUACACCUCCUUGCCAAGGAGGAGAGACGGGUUCAAUUCCCGUUACCCGCUCCA
RNAcentral lists this transfer RNA (74 nucleotides) under Candidatus Doudnaibacteriota bacterium. RNAcentral describes it as "Candidatus Doudnabacteria bacterium tRNA-Gly". It matches the Rfam family "tRNA". Rfam says of the family: Transfer RNA (tRNA) molecules are approximately 80 nucleotides in length. Their secondary structure includes four short double-helical elements and three loops (D, anti-codon, and T loops). Lineage: Bacteria; Candidatus Doudnaibacteriota. The record is from RNAcentral.